RNAcentral lists this ribosomal RNA (400 nucleotides) under uncultured bacterium. RNAcentral's name for it is "bacterial SSU rRNA". It matches the Rfam family "Bacterial small subunit ribosomal RNA", at positions 355 to 772 of the family's 1533-position model. The record is from RNAcentral.
UCGGGAAUAUUGGACAAUGGGCGCAAGCCUGAUCCAGCAAUACCGCGUGUGUGAAGAAGGCCUGCGGGUUGUAAAGCACUUUCAGUUGGGAAGAUAAUGACGUUACCAACAGAAGAAGCACCGGCUAACUCCGUGCCAGCAGCCGCGGUAAUACGGAGGGUGCAAGCGUUAAUCGGAAUUACUGGGCGUAAAGCGUGCGUAGGCGGCUGAUUAAGUCAGAUGUGAAAGCCCCGGGCUUAACCUGGGAACUGCAUCUGAUACUGGUCAGCUAGAAUGUGGGAGAGGAGAGUGGAAUUUCCGGUGUAGCGGUGAAAUGCAUAGAGAUCGGAAGGAACACCAGUGGCGAAGGCGGCUCUCUGGACCAACAUUGACGCUGAGGCACGAAAGCGUGGGUAGCAAA